AUUGAACGCUGGCGGCAUGCCUAACACAUGCAAGUCGAACGGCAGCACAAUAAAGAUUUCGGUCUUUAUGGGUGGCGAGUGGCGGACGGGUGAGUAACGCGUAGGAAUCUGUCCUGGAGAGUGGGGUAACCCGAGGAAACUCGGGCUAAUACUGCAUGACAUUGAGAGAUCAAAAGCAGGGGACCGAAAGGCCUUGCACUCUGGGGUGAGCCUACGUCGGAUUAGCUAGUUGGUGGGGUAAAGGCCUACCAAGGCGACGAUCCGUAGCUGGUCUGAGCGGAUGACCAGCCACACCGGGACUGAGACACGGCCCAGACUCCUACGGGAGGCAGCAGUGGGGAAUCUUGGACAAUGGGGGAAACCCUGAUCCAGCGAUGCCGCGUGUGUGAAGAAGGCCUUCGGGUUGUAAAGCACUUUAGGUGGGGAAGAAAGGUAGCGAGUGAAUAACUUUCUGCUGUGACGGUACCCACAGAAUAAGCACCGGCUAACUCUGUGCCAGCCGCCGCCGUAA
Molecule: ribosomal RNA, 511 nt
Filed under: uncultured bacterium
Lineage: Bacteria
Description: partial 16S ribosomal RNA
Rfam family: Bacterial small subunit ribosomal RNA
Source: RNAcentral